RNAcentral lists this RNase P RNA (424 nucleotides) under Verrucomicrobiota bacterium. RNAcentral describes it as "Verrucomicrobia bacterium RNase P RNA component class A". It matches the Rfam family "Bacterial RNase P class A". From Rfam's summary of the family: Ribonuclease P (RNase P) is a ubiquitous endoribonuclease, found in archaea, bacteria and eukarya as well as chloroplasts and mitochondria. Its best characterised activity is the generation of mature 5'-ends of tRNAs by cleaving the 5'-leader elements of precursor-tRNAs. The record is from RNAcentral. Lineage: Bacteria; Pseudomonadati; Verrucomicrobiota.
CGCCGAUGGCAGAUGAUCGCUGGCGAGUCCCGCGUUGGCGGGAGUUGCUGGAGGAAAGUCCGAACACCAUACGGCGGCAUGCCGCGUAAAACACGCGGGCAUCACGGUUGAAAAACCGCGGUGACGGAGAGUGUCACAGAAAAGAUACCGCCGGUUCUUUGGCAGCAAAGUGCAGGCAAGGGUGAAAAGGCGAGGCAAGAGCUCACCGCUCGCAAAGCAAUUUGCGAGGCACGAAAAACCCCAUGCGGUGCAAGACAAAACAGAGGAAGGGCAGCCGGCCCGUUUGAUCCUCGGGUAUCGUCGCAUCACGGUCCCGCGAACGCGGGAUCGGGCUCUCGCCCGCGAUUGCGGGUCGGGAGAGGUAAAUGAUCAUCACGGCUGAGAAAUUGGCCGACAGAAUUCGGCUUACCGCCAUCGAAAAUAU